CAAGUAUGUCCAAGGAAGAUUUGGAACAGGCAGCUGAGAUGGCGAAGAACCAGAUGGAGAAUUUGACUCCAGACAUGGUAGAUGAAGCG
RNAcentral lists this non-coding RNA (89 nucleotides) under Thalassiosira minuscula. Lineage: Eukaryota; Bacillariophyta; Thalassiosirophyceae; Thalassiosirales; Thalassiosiraceae. The record is from RNAcentral.